CACAAAUUUAUUUACUAGUCAUAUAUCAUCAAAUUAAUUGGUCAUAAAUCCAAAAUUUCAUAGAUUACAAUUUAUUUCGAGGUCACAAAUCAAACAAGGCACAAAUUAUUUCAAAUCUAAAUUACUUAGUUAGAGAUUAUUAAAUUUUUAGAUCACAUUAAAUAGCUCGUCACAUAUAACUGAAUGGUUGGUCACAUACGCUAAUUUCUUGAUCAUAAACAAUCAAAUUAUCUGUGACUACCACCAACACUCGUGACCACCACCUCACCACUACCACCAGUUGCAUCCCGCCAAAACCACCACCACCAAGAUCUCCAGUAGCCCCGUCAUUUCAAAUAUCGCACCUAGCACUAUCUUACCACAAAAACAAAACAAAUACAAAACCACCGACACUUUAGAAAGGCCACCACCGCGACGUUAUCGACACUACCAAUACCAACACCACGACAUCACCACCAACAACAAUUACCACCACCAGAUCCAAUCAGCUGCCAACAAAAACCACGACAAUCGACUCCAUUAGCUCUCCAGCCACCAACAACCACCUCCGCCGCCGCCAAAACACGGCAAGCAGACAUUGCACCACAAGUAGACAUCGUACCCCAAACCACCGCAAGCAGAUCACUGAACUGGCAAAAAUUUUAGAUCAUCGUAUCACAAACCGAACGAUCUGAUUUCCUCUUCAUUACAACUGGUGGCAACGGAGAACGAACCCACCAUUACAGUCGUGCGCACCGACAUUGAACAAUCAUCGUUGCAGUUCAUAAGCAACCCAUCAUCUGUGCAGAGCACGCCUGAGAGUGUCUUCGUCGGUGGUGCUCUCUGACGAGGCCAUAGACAAUUCAUGUGUGACAAAACCUUCGGUGGUGCUUUGUCAUUAAGAGAGGGAAGAGAAUAUAUAGAGAGAGGGAAGACGGUAGAGAGAGAAAAGAUAGGAAAAAAUGGUUAGGAUUUGGAAUAAUUGGGUGAAGAUAUUUAAUAUUUUAAUUAUUAUAUUGAUAUCUCAUUUAUG
This 1012-nucleotide long non-coding RNA is filed under the name Olea europaea subsp. europaea. Lineage: Eukaryota; Viridiplantae; Streptophyta; Magnoliopsida; Lamiales; Oleaceae. The record is from RNAcentral.